This 28654-nucleotide long non-coding RNA is filed under the name Podarcis lilfordi (Lilford's wall lizard). Lineage: Eukaryota; Metazoa; Chordata; Lepidosauria; Squamata; Lacertidae. The record is from RNAcentral.
GUUCUCAGAAAGCUCUCGUUCUCCCGUUUUCUUUCGACUUAGUGCCUUUUGCACGGCAUCUCUCGAACAGAGGAACUCGAAAACUGGGCAUGAAACUGCAGCCAGCCUUUUUGAAAAACAACUUACUCUACCCAACAAACGGCACCAGCUUGAGAAGGCAGAUGUUCUGCAGUCCAAGUGAGAGGAGGGGCGGAAAAAACCCUAUGAUGCUAGCUGGUAAGUAACCUAAGGAGUGCAACUCAGGUUGUUUAGAGAAAGGGAAAAGUUUGUGCCGCUAUGGUACUGGAUUCUGCACUCAUUUUUUCUUUCUUUUUUGAUAGCAGGGGGUUGGCACUGAGUUCUGUAAUCAUGAAUGAUGGUGGUGGUUUAUCUCCAUCACAGAGUUUGUUGUGCAGAAGCUCUGAAGUGGUGAUUGCAGGGCUGAGCAUCUGGGCUCGUACUAUGUGGUCUCUAGCAAGUCAAAAUCUUCUUUUGAAUGCAGCUUCAGUUUUGCCGCCCGUCAACUUGGAACUGUAUGUCACAAGGGUGUUGCUAAUUACUGUAUACUUCAAGGACUGCUACUGAUUGUAGCAUCGACAUUUGCUCAAGCUGCAGUCCUGUGCAUGCUUACCUGCUGGGAGUAAUCUUCAUGGAACGCAGUGGGGCACUACUGAGUUAAUCCCACAUAGAGUUAUACCAUCAGUGUAGCUUUUGAGAUCAAGACCACUUGUGGCAUGCAAAAACUGAAAUUUUUGCAUGUAGUUCAAAACGAUUCAAAGCAACAAGGCAGGUUUAAUUUCCAUUUUUUUUUAUUUUAAAAAAGUGUGUUUGUGUGUUUUACUUUGGGUGCUUAUUAUUUUGAAAGAUAGGAUCAAGGUCAUAUUGAGCAUCUAUUCCACAAAAAUGAACUUGUGGAAAUACAGUGAGCAAUAUUAUGUGAAUUAUGCACCCAUUAUAUAAAAAUGAACUUGUGGAAAUCCAGUGACAAUCCAGUGGGAAGGAGAGAUUUUCAAGUCACGUUCCUUUGAUAUUUUUGUUAGGAUUUACCAUGUGAAUUUGGCUUCAGUUUCUUCUGCACCAGGCUAUUAGAAGUGCGCUGGUGUUAACGUGCUCUCGCUGCAGCUCACUGUUAUCAGAUUUCUUGCCGUGCGAGAGUCCAAGGUAAUGCAGCAAACAUCUGGCUUCUUAAACAAAAUGUACAGUGCCAAACUGAUUCAUAAUGAAAAUCCAUGGGGUAGGUGGAAGGCUGCAGAAGGAAGUAAAGAUGUUUUCUAGGCUGUUUGUUAGCAAAGAACCAGGCUUGGGCAAAUAGCUUGGGAUUCAUGAUAAGGACAACUUUGUAGAUCAGGUCAACUGUCCUGCAUGCAAAAUGCUAAACUAUUUGGCAUCAGGAAUGCAAGCCGAGGAAAAUUGGAUUUGGAACAGGUUGCUGUUUUGAUUACUCCUGCCCUGAAGGGAGAUGAGAGGCAGGAAUAUGGAACACUGCUGAGUUUGGAAAAUGGGAAGGACUUGUUUUGAGGGAUAUAUAUUUAAUGUCCUUUCAAUAUGAUCCAGUUUUGAACCCCAGUUUUUGUUCCUUCUCACAUCUACCUUUCUAUGAUUCCUCUCUUCCUCCCUUUCCCACCAAAACAACCAUUUUUAAAAAUCUUAUCUUCUUUAUAGUUUCCUUCACAGUUGUGAACCCUUUCCCCCAACCAAUUCCAGGACCCUUAGGAAACUACAGUUCCCAAGAUUCUUUGGGGGGGGAGUCAUGUGAUUUAAAUGUAUGAUAUACAUGCAACCCAUAUCUCAACUUGCCUCAUUAUAGCAAUAGUCCUGCAAUAUUUAGUUCCAGCUGCAAGCAUUUAUUCGGGCAACGCCCCCCCCCCAAUCUCCCUGACACCUUAUUUACUCUUGGCUUUUUGGUUAACAAGACCAGGCAUUUUGUUUUAGAAGUUGUGUAAAAUAAUUUCCCGCAGCAUGGGCACAAAGAGAUUUCCAGUUAGCUACUUGUCAGCCAGGGACGUGGGUGGCACUGUGGGUUAAACCACUGAGCCUAGGGCUUGCUGAUCGGAAGGUCGGUGGUUCAAAUCCCCACGACGGGGUGAGCUCCCGUUGCUCGGUCCCUGCUCCUGCCAAUCUAGCAGUUUGAAAGCACGUCAACGUGCAAGUAGAUAAAUAGGUACCACUCUGGCGGGAAGGUAAACGGCGUUUCCGUGCGCUGCUCUGGUUCGCCAGAAGUGGCUUAGUCAUGCUGGCCACAUGACCCGGAAGCUGCAUGCCGGCUCCCUCAGCCUAUAAAGCGAGAUGUGCGCCGCAGCCUCAGAGUCGGCCACGACUGGACCUAAUGGUCAGGGGUUCCUUUACCUUUACUUGUCAGCCAGUGAUCCUUUAAUCGCAUUGUUGAAUGGGUAUGAAUAAUCUGCAGCAAAGAAAUCUGCAGCAGCUCUGGGAAAAGGGCUCACUUGUCCCCCAGUUCCCCAAACUGGAAUAGCAGCAGUUGUGGCGUCUUUCUCCUUUCCCUCUAGAGUGUGCCUUUGGGGUUCUGUGCCUGUGGGAGUGUGUAGGGAAUUGACUUUGAUAAUGCCCACAUUCUGUGGAGUCGGAACUAUGGUUAGCAAGCCGAACUUCUCACAAAGUAACUAUCCUGGGGCCCCAAUAAGGAAAUGUAUUGCAGCACGAGCUUUCAUGGAAAAGAGUCGAUUCACCAGACAGAUGAAGUGGACAGUGGAAGUUUUGGUUGUUAAAGUGAACGUGGGCUGAAGAAGACAGUUAUGCAAGCAACGUUAAACAGUAAAGGAGCAUAGCCUGAAAGCAGAGCAAUCCUCUGUGAAUCAGUAAAGCUGAAGGGAGCAAGAGACUCAAUUGCAUGGCACCAACAGGUCCACAGAUGUUGAUAAUUCACAUGUACCUAACCAAUGAAGCCAUCUACUGAUCUGCAAGACAGAGCUGUUCCACCAGGCCUUUGGCCAAGGCACAGUCUGACCCCCUCCUUCUGUAAUCCUCAUAGAACUCUAGCCCAAUGGUUGCCAUUAAUUUGAUUCUAAAAUCAAUUCAGAAUCAAAUUAAUGGCAACCAUUGGGCUAGAGUUCUAUGAGGAUGUAUUUCAAUUAAUUGUCUGUGAUUUUAUGUAAACUGUGCUAUUUUUACUGUUGUUAGCCGUUCUGAGCCCGGCUUUGGCUGGGGAGGGUGGGAUAUAAAUAAAUUAUUAUUAUUAUUAUUAUUAUUAUUAUUAUUAUCUGGGAGGUGCACCCCAUGAUCCUUUGCGGUCCCACAUUGUGAUGAUGGGACUAUUCUGGGGGGUGGGGUGGGGUGCCUUUUCCAGUCUUGGAGUGUGUUCCUGUUCAGGGUGGGAAGCUGAGCUCCUCAAGUUUAGAAGACUUAAAACCUUGCAGCCAUACCUGACUAUGUCUACUAUAACCGAAGUCUCAUUACAGGUCCUACGCGGGUGGCACUGUUGUCUAAACCACUGAGCUUCUUGGGCUUGCUGAUCAGAGGGUUGGUGGUUCAAAUCCCCGCAACAAGGUGAGCUCCCGUUGCUCUGUGCCAGCUCCUGCCAACCUAGCAGUUUGAAAGCACACCAGUGCAAGUAGAUAAAUAGGUACCGCUCCGGCGGGAAGGUAAAUGGCGUAUCCAUCCGCUCUGGUUUCCAUCAUGGUGUCCCGUUGCGCCAGAAACAGUUUAGUCAUGCUGGCCACAUGACCUGGAAAGCUGUCUGUGGGCAAACAUUGGCUCCCUCGGUCUGAAAGCGAGAUGAACUCCACAAACCCCAUAGUUGCCUUUGACUGGACUUAACCGACCAGGGUUUUUUUACCUUUUUACCUUUACAGGUCCUGCUGUUGAAAAAGGUAAAGGUAAAGGGACCCCUGACCAUUAGGUCCAGUCGUGGCCGACACUGGGGUUGUGGCGCUCAUCUCGCUUUAUUGGCCGAGGGAGCUGGUGUUCAGCUUCCGGGUCAUGUGGCCAGCAUAAUAAUAAUAAUAAUAAUAAUUUAUUAUUUAUACCCUGCCCAUCUGGCUGGGUUUCCCCAGCCACUCUGGGUGGCUUCCAACUGAAUAUUAAAAACAGUACAGCAUCAGACAUUAAAAACUUCCCUAAAGAGGGCUGCCUUCAGUUGUCUUUUAAAAGUAAAAUAGUUGUUUAUUGCCUUGACAUCUGCCUGGUUCCCUGUAAUCUUACUUCUCGCAAUGAGGGAACCGCCAGAAGGGUUCAUGAUUAAGCCGCUUCUGGCGAACCAGAGCAGCGCAUGGAAAGGCCAUUUACCUUCCCGCCAGAGUGGUAUCUAUUUAUCUACUUGCAUUUGAUGUGCUUUUGAAAUGCUAGGUUGGCAGGAGCUGGGUCCAAGCAAUGGGAGCUCACCCCAUCGCAGGGAUUCGAACCGCCGACCUUCUGAUCGGCAAGUCCUAGGCUCUGUGGUUUAACCCACAGCGCCACCCAUGUCCCCCUGCUGUUGAAAAAGCAGCACCUUAAUGAGAGCAGAAGUGACCCUGCCUGAGGAGCUGUGGUACCUCUGGCCUUCCAAAUGUUGUUGGAUUCCAACUCCCAUCAGCCCCAGCCAGUGUGGCCAAUGGUCAGGUAUGAUGUGAGUUGUAGACCAUCAACUUCUGGAGGGCCACACGUUACGGCAUCCCUGAUUUAAAGAGACGAGUGUUGAAACCUGGAACAUGAGGGAUGGAUCAAGGGUGGAAUAUGCUAGCUCAGUCCUGGUUUCCAGCAUAAUAAACAACUGUUGAAGUUGCAGCAUCUUGACAAGAGUAGCAGAAUUGACCUUGUCUAGCUUCUACCCAAGCUCGGUUAUUAAGAAAACAAUAAUCUCCUUAAUCAACUAUGGUUUCUUAAGCGAGGAAUAUUGCAUCCAAACUAGCCAAUUUCCCUUUGGAAGAUACCUUCCCCAUCACCCCACUUGCUCCUUAUUUUGCACCGAGCCAAACUGAAAGCAUGUUGAAGGAAGAUGACUCUUCAGAGUGACUGUGCCAACAUUAUUGUGCUCAGUCUUCCUGGGACAGAUAUCUGGAGCUCACGGGGCCUUCUUUUUUUAAAACAGUAUAUGAACUGGAAAAAGCAUUUUAUUUUAGUUGAGGUUUUGAAGUUCUAAUCCCACCCCACCCCCCUCCGCAACAUCACGAGAAACAAAUUGUCAUUGACUGACAGAAACAGCUUACAGAAAUUUCUGUAGGUGGCUGGAAGCCAAGGAAUUGGAGAAUUCGGAGUCUAGAUGGAAAGAUAAUGGCUUACAGGUCUGUUUUCUGGCUUUUAUCACUUGCGCAUGGCAGGAUUGUCAUUGCUGAGAGGACUUAAAGAUGAAAUGAUUUACCAUCUCGGCUGAAUUUAUCUCUCGAGAAUAAAUACAGUUUCCCCAGGAAGGUUGACACCGCAAAGUAUAAUUAUUAGGAUAAUGUACACAGCUACAGGAAGACACAGUCACACGUUUCAGGUCUUGCCAAAGGCGAUCAGAAUGCGGCACCAUUCUCCUUUGUAGCUGAAAGUUGAAGUGAUCCUGCUAAGUCAGGCACCAGUUGUCUGAGAAAAUCUGAUGCGUUAACUCUCUGUAUGCUGUAGAGUACUGUGUUUGCUGAGGAAUGAAUGGAUCCCAUCUUGCUGGAAAUUCAGUUGCAUUCCACCUACAUUUACGAGACAGGAUGAGAUUCAGAGAAAGAGCUGCGCACAGAACUGGGUGAGGAGGAGGAGGAGGAUAUGAAGAAUUGAAAGAGCUGCGUUAUCCAGUUGUGUGGUGUAGUGGUUAUAGUGUUGGAAUAAGAUCUCAUUUUUCUUCUGAUGCUUCCGUAUCUGUGGAGGAGUUCUUGCAGGUGGUAGACCAGUGUACAUCACUGGUACACCAAUCAUUGGUACUUUUGGUUAGUACAUUUAAUUAGUGAUGAACCUACUACCCCAAGCUUUUAAAAAAAGAAAAAAGAGAGGCAGGAAGGUAGCUAAUUUUCCUGAGCCCACUUCCCAAAUUUGUGCCUCCAGUAUAAUCCUUGGGGGCAUGACAAGAUUGGAAGCCUCUAUCCAAGGGAGUAAGAGAUGUCCUUGUUUGAUUUUAACCUGGGCUAGAGGAAGAUUCUGGGCCAGAAAUGAUGUAUCCACUUAUUCCAAAAUUCAGUCAAAUGUUACAAGCUGGCUGAGCUGAUAUUAUGACCAUAAUUACAAACUUUGGCGACAUUGCUACCUUUAAAAAUUUGACUAUUAUUGCUACGAGUAAUUUACUCUGCAACGCUACACAGAGCAAUUUUAGCAGUGGGGAUUCAGUUUUAGUUGUUGUUUGUAUUGUUUUUAAGGAAAUAUGCAUUUUGAAACAUGUGGAGGAAUCACGGUGAUGAGAAAUACUGCCACCAGUCCAAAGCACACCUUUCGCAUCAUGGAAAUGGAGCUGUUGGGUAGUCGAUAAAUGCCACGCAACUUGGAACAUAGUUAUUUGCUUGUCUAGGUGAAAUGUGGGUGCACAUAACUCUUAAGAAAAGAAGUAAAAGCUUGCCUUCUGUGGAAUGGUAUACCUGCCUUUAUUAUCCUUCAUUGAUCAAAAUAAAUAAAGGCGUUGAAUAAAUUUAAUUUAAAUCCAGGUCAAAACACAUUACAGGCAUCUCCUCAGAUAUGUGGGGGUUACGUUCCCGGGUAUCACAUGUAUACAUGAAAUCACGUAUGGUGGGGGGGCACCAUCUACAAAGUGUGUAAAGGUAAAGGUAAAGGGACCCCUGACCAUUCGGUCCAGUCGUGACCGACUCUGGGGUUGCAGCGCUCAUCUCGCUUUAUUGGCCGAGGGAGCCGGCGUACAGCUUCCGGGUCAUAUGGCCAGCCUAACUAAGGCGAACCAGAGCAAUGCACGGAAAUGCCGUUUACCUUCCCGCCAGAGCGGUACCUAUUUAUCUACUUGCACUCUGACGUGCUUUCGAACUGCUAGGUUGGCAGGAGCAGGGACCGAGCAACGGGAGCUCACCCCAUCACGGGGAUUCGAACCACCGACCUUCUGAUCAGCAAAUCCUAGGCUCUGUGGUUUAACCCACAGCGCCACCCCUCUAAACCUCUGGAAACUCUUGAAAAGCUCUUUAAAAAACCAGCAGCACUUACCAGACUGGGAGUAGUUGCUCUCAGUUUCUUAAGCGCUGGAGGAUGAUAUGGAAACAACAAACUCGAACUGUCCACAGUCCUCAAAGGUCAGUGCAAAGGCUCAUGGGAUAGCUAGCCAUUUUCCCACUCUUUUCCCACCAUGUUCACAGUUUUCCUGCUCUUCAGGUCGUUUUUGCCCCUUUCACACCUGUUUGCCAUUUAAAUGUAUUGAUUGAUUGAUUGAUUGGAUUUCCCAGUGCCGCAUGUAUACCUUGGUUACGUGUGAGUCAAAGGUACCAUAAGUGAGGAGACAUGUGUACAGUGGUACCUUGGUUCUUGAACUCAAUCCGUUCUGGAAUCCAUUCGACUUCCAAAACGUCCAAAAACUAAAACGUGGCUUCUGAUUGGCUGAUUGGCCCCGGAAACAAUGCUGACAGCCAAAAUGGACGUUCGGCUUCUGAAAAAUGUUCGCAAACAGGAACAAUUACUUCUGGGUUUGUGGCAUUCGGGAGUCGAUUUGUUCAUCAACUAAACCAUUCAGGAACCAAGGUACCACUGUACAGUGGAACCCCGGGUUGCAAAUGUGAUCCAUGUGGGAGGCACGUUUGCAACCCACAGCGCUACGUCUGCGCACGUGGGUGACGUGAUUCAACGCUUCUGUGCAUGCGCAAAGCGUGAUUUAGCGUUUCUGCGCAUACGUGCAUACGAGAGCGUCGAAACCUGGAAGUAACCCGUUCUGGUACUUGCAGGUUUUGGCGUGUCCGUAACCUGAAAACGCGUAACCCGAAGCGUCUGUAACCCGAGGUACCACUGUAUAGGAAAACCUAUCUGUGAAUUCAUGGGGGCUUGAAAUGUGUUUUCCUGCCCCCCACUCCAUUUAGUAUAAACAUUAUGAAUCAAGGAGACGUUGAAGGGAGAAAAGCCAUGAGUUUUAACUGGCUUUUCCUUUGUAAAUUGAAAAAUACUCUUGCACUUUCUGUGAGAUCUGGUUUCUUCUUGCGACGGGAAACUUCCCUGUCUGUCACACCCUUACCACAGAUUUAAUGCAUAUGCCCCCCCCCCCAAUCCUGGGAAAUGUGGUUUACCCCUCACAGGGCUACAAUUCCCAGCACCUAAACAUUCCACAGAUCCCAGGAAUCACUAGGUGAAGCCAUGGGUGGUAUAGAUUUUAGUGUCUGAAUAGCAACUUCAUGCUCUUCUCUGUGUUGAUGUUGUGAGAGCACUGUCUAUUCCCCCCCUCCUUCCUGCCUCCCAGCUCUCUGCAGGAGUCCUUAACUGAAGCACUUGUUUCUGCAGUUUAGCCUUGGUUAUAUAACAUGUUCCAAGUGCAACCUGUGAGAUAAUCUGAAUACAGAAAGAACAGAGUCCUUCAUGGGCAGGAGCUGUUUGAUUGGGAAAAUGCAACUCUCAUUUGGUCACUCUGGAAAUCAUGCGGGUGUCUGAGAAGCGGUUCUAAAUUUAGAUGCGCGUGUGUAAUUUUGAGUUAGUUUAAUUUGGCAAAGUGUUGUUUUUAAAUGGGUAAAUUUAUAGCUUGACCCCAAGAUUGGCUAUGUCAUUGCAGAAAUAUUUAGCAUGGACCAUACCAAUGAUUGCACUGGUGAAAUGCCAACAUAGCUUGGUGCUAUGACAACACUGUGAGGAUAUUAACAUGAGUAUUGCAGCUGGAUACACAAAUGCAAGUGUAGUGGUAUUCUGUUAUAAACAAGGGUGGUGGAAUCUGUCAAUUCUGGUUUUGUUUCCUUGCAACUUUGCAUUUUAUUUUAUUUUUAAGUCCCCAUCAAAAUACACCAGCAUGUUAGUGUAAAUUUAUUCUAAUAUGCACAUUUUUGUUAGUGCCUUUGCCCAAUAUACACAUUUUUUGAAAUGCAAUUUCCCCUGGUGCAUUUUGGCACAUUACUUUCACUAAUAUGUGCAUUUUCAGACACAUGUAGCAGCAAAUACAUUCCUAAACACAUUAUCCAAUGGGAAAGUUGCAUUGCAAAAACUGGAGAAGUGAGAGUUUUGAAUGGCUGUGUUCUGCUUCCCAUAUUAUUUCAGAAAGUGUGAAUUGGGUAGGUUUGCAUUAACAUGCAAACUGAAUCUAAUUUCUCCCCCAUCCCUAAUUACGUGGGGCUACCUUUGAAGGUGACUUGGAAACUACAACUAAUGCAGAAUGUGGCGACUAGACUGGUGACUGAGAGUGGCUGCCGAGACCAUAUAACACCGGUCCUGAAAGACCUACAUUGGCUCCCAGUACAUUUCUGGGCACAAUUCAAAGUGUUGGUGCUGACCUUUAAAGCCCUAAACGGCCUCAGCCCAGUAUACCUGAAGGAGCAUCUCCACCCCCAUCGUUCAGCCCGGACACUGAGGUCCAGCUCCAAGGGCCUUCGGGCAGUUGCCUCCCUGAGAGAAGUGAGGUUACAGGGAACCAGGCAGAGGGCCUUCUCUGUGGUGGCCCUCUCCGUGUGGGACGUCCUCCCAUCAGAUGUUAAGGAGAUGAGUAACUAUAUAAUCUUUACAAGAUACCUUCCUGUAUAGGGAAGCAUUGUUGUUGUUGCUAUUACAGUCAUACCUUGGUUCUUGAACACCUUGGUACUUGUACAUUUUGGCUCUUGAAGGCCGAAAACCCGGAAGUAAGUGUUCCAGUUUUUGAACGUUCUUUGGAAGCCUAACAUCCGACGUGGCUUCCACGGCUUCUGAUUGAGUGCAGGAAGCUCCUGCAGCCAAUCGGAAGCUGCGCCUUGAUUUUUGAACAGUUUCGGGAGUCAAAUGAACUCCCGGAACAGAUUAAGUUCGACAACCAAGGUACCGCUGUGUUUAUUAUUAUAUUUAUGCCCUGCCCAUCUGGCUGGGUUAAAGUGUAAUGUUUUAUUAUGUUUUCAUACAUGUUGGAAGCCACCCAGAGUGUCUGGGGCAACCCAAUCAGAUGGGCAAGGUACAAAUAAUAAAAUUAUUAGUAGUAGAAUCAUAGAAUCAUAGAAUCAUAGAAUCAUAGAGUUGGAAGAGACCACAAGGGCCAUCGAGUCCAACCCCCUGCCAAGCAGGAAACACCAUCAGAGCACUCCUGACAUAUGGUUGUCAAGCCUCUGCUUAAAGACCUCCAAAGAAGGAGACUCCACCACACUCCUUGGCAGCAAAUUCCACUGUCAAACAGCUCUUACUGUCAGGAAGUUCUUCCUAAUGUUUAGGUGGAAUCUUCUUUCUUGUAGUUUGGAUCCAUUGCUCCGUGUCCGCUUCUCUGGAGCAGCAGAAAACAACCUUUCUCCCUCCUCUAUGUGACAUCCUUUUAUAUAUUUGAACAUGGCUAUCAUAUCACCCCUUAACCUCCUCUUCUCCAGGCUAAACAUGCCCAGCUCUCUUAGCCGUUCCUCAUAAGGCAUCGUUUCCAGGCCUUUGACCAUUUUGGUUGCCCUCCUCUGGACAUGUUCCAGUAAUAGUAGUAAUAGUAGUAAUAGUAGUAAUAGUAGUAGUAGUAGUAGUAGUAUCCACACUGUAAUAAAAAUCUUGCCUUGACCACAUAACCUUGCCAGAGAACGCUGUUUCCUAGGUACACACACAUGAGCAAUCAGGUGAUGGUGAAAGAAGAAGCCAAUGUCACCUUCUACACACCUCAGAUUCCUCUUCUCGGAAAAGACUUCUGAAAAUGCAGCGGGGUUAGAGUGAGAACAAAAUAGCUCUAUUUCCAACCUACGCUUCUGUACCAUAGACAGUAAUGGGAACAGUUUUAAAAUAAUGCCUUAUAAUCCAUGGGGUAUAAUUAGAGCCCUUGGAAUUAAGAAUGGGGGUAUAUAUAUCCCAUAACUGUCGCGUUGUAUUUUCUGUGCUGAAUCGUCCUUUGCCAGGGCAUACAGUGCAGCCUUGCAGUCUCAGAUGUUAAAGAGGAAGAUUAAUGCAUGUGGUUCCCUAACCACCUUUCACAUCUUUACAGCUAAACAUUGUUUAUAGGGAUCAACUAGUUCUCUGUCUCUUCUGUUUUAUUAUGAGGCUGUGUUCGGAUCUCCUUUAAAAGAGAGGAUGAUGGAUGAUCAACUUUCAACAUGAGUGAAAAAUGGGCUGUCCCAGGAGAGCAGGUUAUAGGGAGAAAAGUUUAAACGAUGAUAAAACUCAGCCUCCGCAAGACAGUAAGAUUCUGUCUGUGGAAUCAGUAUGACUUCUAUUACAUACAGAACUUUCCCCUCCGUUGGCUUGGAUGUUUGCUAUAGGAAGCCUAGGUGAGCUUUCAGAUCUCUUUGUCCAACAGAAACUGGGAGUGAAUUUGUGUUCUGCUUUGGAAUGCAUCACAGCAGAUCGUUGAAUUGUGUGGUCCGCAAUGGGUCUCAGUGCCGUAGCGUGGGUUGCCAGUACCCAGGGCGGGGUAAGUGUUGUGCCCCCUGCUGGUGGACUGGGGGAGUGCACCUGGGGGGCACACGCAGAGCCUGCCUCCAGCAGGCUCCUGGCCGGCUCCCUCUCCCCACCCACUCACUGGACCAACCCACCUGUUGCAGCACCUCAGCUGCCAGAGCUCUCUGCCUGCACAUCCUCAAAAAUGUGCACCUGGGGCCAUGGCCCCCAUAUGCGAUGCCUCUGGUGGGUCUCUACAGUUGAAAGGCACUGCACUUCUGGAAAUAAGUAUGCCAGUUGCGGAAUUGGUAAAGGUAAAGGGACCCCUCACUGUAGGGUCCAGUCGUGGCAGAAUCUGGGGUUGCAGCGCUCAUUUCACUUUAUUGGCCGAGGGAGCCAGCAUUUGUCCGCAGACAGCUUCCGGGUCAUGUGGCCAACAUGACUAAGCUGCUUCUGGUGAACCAGAGCAGUGCACGGAAAUGCCGUUUACCUUCCCGCCGGAGUGGUACCUAUUUAUCUACUUGCACUUUGACGUGCUUUCAAACUGCUAGGUUGGCAGGAGCAGGGACCGAGCAACGGGAGCUCACCCCGUCGCGGGGAUUCGAACCGCCGACCUUCUGAUCGGCAAGUCCUGAGCUCUGUGGUUUAACCCACAGUGCCACCCAUGGAAUUGGUAGCUGAGCCCAAAAUCUGUAGUCAGAAUUCUAACUGAGAAUCAGAUAUUUGAAUUUUAGGAUAUAUGAGUAUAUCCUAAAAUUAUAUAUGGUGUGUGUGUGUGUGUGUGUGUGUGUGUGUGUGUGUGUGUUUGCAUAUCCUCCUCAUAGUUGCACUUGGCUGCAUCAGAUAGCUGAGAUUCUAAGGAGGACCACUCCAUUGGCUCACCUAGGGCCAUGUACCCUUUGGCUGUUCCUGUCCAAACCCCAAAAUGAAGCUGGCCUAGCAGCUUUGUGCUUCCUCCAAGACCCUUUGGGUGUUCCAUUCAAAUGCCUGGAAACCCUAGAGGAUAUUUUCCCAUCAAGAACUCCCUAGUACAGCUGUGGCGGUGUGGGUUGGUGUUUUUCCGUCAACUCAGUUUAGCUGGUCUUUGAGGAUGUGCUUAGUUCUAAUCAACCAAUUGGCCCUGAAAGCAAGCGUUAAAAGGAGUUCCCUGCAAGCCCCACUUUGUCUAUUUGCAAACUACUUUGUCCUGGUUUGUCUGCUUGUGAAAGUUCGUCAGACCACCUUCUAGUUUGCAGAAGAAGAACAUCGAUCUGCAGGAGUGGCUUGAAUCCAAACUGCAGCUGCAGGACAAGACUUGAAACUCGUUACUUGCUGAUCAACUGAUUGGCAGUUGCAACAAAUCCCUUUGAUGUCAACUGACAUCAUAAUAAUCUCACGGGAUUGCCCAGUGUGUGAUCAAACCCAUCUGUCAAAGUUGGCCCCAAAGUUGGUGGCGGCAGCAUUUGGAUCAAGCCUGCCUGCCAGCUCUAGUUCCCUACCAAAGGUAAAGUUCUAGUUCCCUACCAAAGGUAAAGGUACCCCUGACCGUUAGGUCCAGUCGCGGACAACUCUGCGGUUGUGGCGCUCAUCUCUCUCUAUAGGCUGAGGAAGCUGGCGUUUGUCCGCAGUCAGCUUCUGGGUCAUGUGGCCAGCAUGACUAAGCUGCUUCUGGCGAAACCAGAGCAGCGCAUGGAAACACUGUUUACCUUCCCGCUGGAGCGGUACCUAUUUAUCUACUUGCACUUUGAGGUGCUUUCAAACUGCUGGGUGGGCAGGAGCUGGGACUGAACAACAGGAGCUCACCCCGUCACGGGGAUUCGAACUGCUGACCUUCUGAUCAGCAAGUCCUAGGCUCUGUGGUUUAGACCACAGCGCCACCCACGUCCCUGAUGUUGUAUAACAACUGGUGCGUAAUAACAGCAAAUGUUAAUGGUGAACAGCUGUAUUAAUGCUUACCAGAUUUUGACAAGUAUGCUUGAAGUGUUGAGCUGGCAAUGUUUUCAUCCCCCUGUUGACAUGCAUUAGGGAGAGCUCCCUGAAGCAGUGCUCAGAAUGCACCCCUUUCUUUUCUUCCCAAAUCCGCUAAUGUGCAUUAGCAAGUUUAGCAGUGAAUCAAAACUGGAUUAUAAGGCCAACCUGCACAGAAUAAAUGUGUGUGUGCAUUUCAGAACGGAAUCUCAGGCAACGGCCUUGAGCAUCCCGAGGGAUACCUGAGAUGCAUUUAACUUGUAGAAAUUGUUCCACAGAGAUUGAAGAUGAAUGCUGUUUUGCUCACAAAAGCUUCUUUACAACAAUAGCCUUUGAGUGCCUUGCUACGACUUUGGAACGUUGUUUGAUUUUGCCCAUAAUUUAAGAGAGCGAAAAAGUGUAACUCAGGGUGUCAGUCCUACCUGUGUAAAUCUCUACUUACCUGAUCCAUCCCACUGCAGCUCCUGUGCUGUUUUCACCAUCGCAACAGGUGACGGACGGCUCCCCUGGAGUGCAUUUAGGAGAUGUGACUGACUUCUGUCACAAUCCAUUAACUCCUUCUCUCCUCUUCUUCAGGGGCAAAACAAACCCUCCACCCAUUUCUGCUUGCGGCCUGUCGUCUUUUCUUUGGGUGUGUCAAAGUAGCUUCCAUUGGAGGGCCAUGGCCUCAUACCAAAAACAUUUAGAGAUGAACAUCACUGGCAAAAUAGCAAAUGGAACGUGCAGCCUGUGCUGAUCAGGCCUUGCCAUACCACAUCCGUAUAUGAGCAAAAUUGUGGUUAGGGCUGCACGGAGGUGGGAAAUAAUGUUGCCUGCUUCCAGCUUUUGCUUCGCUGUUUGAUUGGGAGUUUUCUCCAUAGGAAUCUCACUCUUGAGGCUGCUUUGAAUGAUAAGAACAUAAAUAGAACCCUGGUGGAUCUAGCCAACGUCCUGUUCUGGCCAAAAAUAUGCCUAUGGGACAAGUUGGACCUGAGCACAACAGCACUCUGCCCACCUGAGAUUCACAGCAAAAUGCCUCUGAAAUUGGAGACAGAACAUGUUAUAUUUCCAUCCUUUGUUCUUGAAGUUGAAAGUAGAGAAGGAGACAAGGAGGAGGACUGGGCAUGUGUGUAUGUUAAUGGCUUGUCCUUCUCUCGAGUAGGACCCUGGCAGACACACAUGCCCGACUGGCAUGUUCUCUCCCUCCUGGUCAUUCGUUCGGGAGCUUCAAAAGCUUUCUUCUGCCCAAACAUCACAGCGACUGAUGCCAACAGACAUCAUCACACUUAGGGAUCCGCAGAGUGUGUGCAGUUGCGUAACAGACCUCAGCAACUCAGCAUUUUGGCUAAUCUACUUUAUUUACAUAUAAACACACAUGGAGCACUGCAACAUGGCUCCAUCUCUCUCUAGCAUCAGACAGCAAAGAGAAAGAACAAAGGACAAUAGUCCCACUUCACGGAACACAGUAACACAAACAUCCUGUCUCUGUCACUUCCUACUUUGUGGAGUCAAAACAUAUACCGUCAUGUGAAAGACAACAAUCCCAUGACUGCAAUCAUGGAGCAGAAAUUCUAGCAGUUCAGGGUCCUUUCCAACUCCACAAUUCUAUGAUUCUACGCAUAAUAUUUUUAUCAUUUAUACCCUGCCCAUCUGACUGGGUUACCCUAGCCUCUCUGGAUGGCUUCCAACAGAAAUAAAAACACAAUAAAACAUUUUUAAAAAUUGCUAUGCAGGGCUGCCUUCAGAUGUCUUCUCAAAGUUUUAUAGUCAAUGCUAUUUUUCUAGAAAAAGAGGUGCUGGAAUUCACCAUGGACGCCUCCCUUGUUCUCUUAGAAUGGCAACGGCACCCACCUGAGAGGUGCCAGAACUGAGUUCCAGCGAGUUCAGGCUGAAAAAAGCCCUGUGUAUAGUUAUUUAUCUCCUUGACAUCUGAUGGGAGGGCACUCCACAGGGUGGGCUCCAUCGAAAAGGCCCUCUGCCUGGUUCCCUGUAACUUCACCUCUUGCAGUGAGGGAACCUCCAGAAAGCCAUCAGAGCUGGACCUCCGUGUCUGGGCUGAAGGACUUUAUUUAGCAAGUCAGUAAUGAGGAGAGGGAGAUGUGUAGAGAUCAAGUUAGGUGAAUGUCAUUUUCUCAGUCUCUCCUAGUACUAGAGCCUGGGGUCAUCCAAUGCAGCUGAAUGUCAGGCAAUUCAGAUCAGACAAAGAGGAAGUACUUCUCCAUGUCAUAUUUAAUGAAAUUGUGGAUUUCAUUACCACAAGAUAUAGCAACAGCCAUCAACUUAGAUGGCUUUAAAAGGGGAUUGGACAAAUCCAGGGAGAAUAAGAUGUUCCACGGUUAUUAGUCAUAAUGACUGUAUGUUACCUCUGAGAUCAGAGGCAAGUAGGACUCUUCUUAGUGGCUCCUAAUGGGAUCAGGGGCUCGGGUUUUGCAAACCAGUUACAGGAUUUGGAAUCUGGCAUUUGGCAGAUGCAAAAAGUCGCAGCCUCAGUUCAGUCCCAAUCGUUGUGCAGUUUGCCAUCUAUAAACAAUCACAACCUGCUUCUCGUUUUUCUGCAAUUUUCACACCAGUGCUAGUCUGUGCACAUUUAAAAUUUGCAUAUAUUGGUAUAAAUUAACGCAUUUGAGCAGCAAAGGCACCUAUUGGUUUAAAAUUGCUUCUCUAGGAGAGAUAAUAACAAUAGUAUUGAAGAAUGAGGCAGAGAGAAUUUCUAAUCCAGGCAGAAUGGAAGCAUUUAUGGUGGUUGCAUAACUAGAGUAAAGGAAAUAGCCAGAAAUGCUGUAAAAGUUUAGGAGGGCAAUCUUGUUUCAUUUCUUAAUUUCUUGCCCAUCCCAAAUUUGCAAUAAAUUUUCUUGCCAAUCCCAAAUUUGCAAUAAUUUUUGAUUUGACCCAUUGUCGUGCUUGUAAAUUGUUUUAAACUAUAUUUUAAUAACGCGUUUUUAAAUUGCUAACUCUCCCAAAGACCUUAUGGGGAAAGUCGGGCAAGAAUGAAUGAAUGAUGUGUUUUGAAUUGCCUCCAGAAUGCCAUUAAAUUACAUAUAAGUCCUCUAGCUUUUCCUUGGAACACUAUAGUUCACUAAGAAAGUUUGUCAAAAGAGGAUCCUUAAAAUAUAUAUAUUCCAAGGAAUAAAACUUUUCGUAUCCUGCUACAAAAAUUAGUGAGAUUAUUAAGACCUUCUACAUAAACUCCUAUUUCUGUCUGGGUAUAAUAUUUAAGAUGGCAAUUCUUGGAUCAGUGGGAACUGGGUGGCCCAAUUCUAUGCAUAGUUACGUGGGACUAAGUCCCUCUGAACACUAUGUGUCUUACUUCUGAGUAAAUAUGCAUAAGAUGGUACUGUAAAUCAAAUCAAAUUCAAGCAGCUCAUGUUAGCCACAAGAGGGCAAUGUUGGCAUACUGGAUAGGGAUCCAUUCUGACCAAGUUUCUAAAUCCUGAGUUCUAAUUCUGUCUGCAAAGCUGUUCUUUUAAAUUGUUCAUGUCUUUUACAUUACUAUCAGCUAGUCAGUGGGAUGUCCAGAGCCAGUGUGGUGUAGUGGUUAAGAGCGGUAGUCUCGUAAUCUGGGGAACCGGGUUCACGUCUCCGCUCCUCCACAUGCAGCUGCUGGGUGACCUUGGGCCAGUCACACUUCUUUGAAGUCUCUCAGCCCCACUCACCUCACAGAGUGUUUGUUGUGGGGGAGGAAGGGAAAGGAGAAUGUUAGCCGCUUUGAGACUCCUGAAGGGGAGUGAAAGGCGGGAUAUCAAAUCUAAACUCUUCUGGUAUAGGAGACAGGAAUACAUUUCCUGAUUUGCAUGGCAGGAGCACUUUGACCUAGGACAUUCCUGCCCCUCCCCCCACCCCAUAUUCAUUAUAUUAUUAUCGUUUGAUUUUUAUUUAGAGUCUGCAUGAAUCAGAGUUUGCAUGAAUCAGAAUCAGAAUAAUCUUUAUUUGCAUCAGCCACCAGCUGUAGCAAUAACAUAAAAUGUACUGAAGUGAGAGGUAAAAACUUAACUUUAGAAAAUACAUUUGGGGGGUUUAUAUCAGUAAUCAAAUAAUAGAUCUUAUUCUAAUUGCCCUUGCUAAAAAACCUUGCAGCUUUUGCUGUCACCUGAUCAUCUUGAUCUGCUAAAACACAGUAGCAAUGGUUGAGCAACCCCCGGCAUGGACAAUAAUAGAGGGGUAAUAAUCUCCUCAAAUCUUUAUAAAGAGGGCAAGCCAGAAGGACGCGAGCCACUGACUCAAUACUGCCAUCUCCGCAGGGACAUAACCAUUUUUCCAGUGGAAUUUUUUAAAAUCGACCCUCAAGUACAGCUGAAGGCAGUAUAUUCAAUCUUGCGAAAGCGAAAGCACGCCUGUAUUUUGGAAUUCUAUAAUUUUGUGAAUAGGGUGCCUGAGUGUCAAAAUGACUAGGUGGAAAAUAAUCGUACCAUGGACAAAAUGUCCUUAUUGUGGCCAGAUUAUUCUGUUGCUUGGUGUCAUAUAGGCGCUGUCCAAUUAAAUGAUUUGAUUUACUGAAGCCCAGUGUUAAUAACUGUUGUGGUAAACCAGAAAAAUAGAGCUUUUGGCUGACCAUUUUAGGCCAAGUGCUCUCAUGACAAUCUUGUGAUAAUAAGGGUAGUAGGCCAGUGGACUUGCACAAGUUGCAUGCUUUCCUAGUGCUUUAAAUAGGAAAGUGUUCCACUCCACAAUUUGCUUUUAUCCUGCCUACAAUCUGAAGUCCGCCGGCCAGAAUUCCCUCUGCCCAAGUAGUAGGGCAUCUCUGCAUGUAGCAGUCUUCUUCUCCCGAGUUCUGUGGGGGGCGGGUUAAAGUUCCACAAGUAAUUCUGCAAUUUUAGAGCAGAGACUCCCGACUUUUUGGGGACUGAGCACACAUUUGUGAAUACGAGAAACGGUUGCGGACCUCCCCACCCACCCACUGUAACUAAGCACAAUUUGCCACCUAUUCAAUUGUUGACUACAGCGGGAUGCUUCUGUUGGGUCUAAUUUCAGCAGUGGGAGGCAACCCUAUGGGCCACCAGGGAAGGCCCCUGCAGGCAUAUCUGUGCUCCACGUUGACAACCCUUGCUCUAGUGUCAGUAAUUGGAUUGAUGAGGAAGAGUGGUGGGAACAGCCCAACCAAGAGCCCCUCAGGGAGGGCACAGAAGAUGAUGACUUGGAUGAUGGUGGUGCGAUACUGAAGAAAAGUCUGGGGAAGGGAGAAUCUAGGAGGUGCUAGAAGCAGAGUGUGCUGGUCCCGUGGGUUACCCGAGAGGCGAGGUCCAAGUCCGGUCCGUGGUCAAAGGUGCAACGAGGAGGCAGUCUGUAGUAGCUGAAGCUGGGUUCAGGGCAGGGAGCCUGGUGAAGUCAGGAACAGGCUUGCAAGCAGGGAGCCAGGGCGGAUCAGGAGCUCAGGAAGGAACUAGCAACCAACAAUGUUGCUCCUGCAACUUGGGACUGGCCGGCUCUUAUCUGCCCUGAGGCAUAGGGCAGCCCUGAUCCUCUGGAGACUCACCUCUCCUGGCCUGGAGGUGAGCACUCCUCCUGCGGGAACUUGGCUCCCUCCGCCUCUCUGCCCUGAGCCUCUGCAGCUCAGGAGAGGCUGGAGGGUUACCGGACCCAGAGGCAACCUCACUUCGCCACUCCUCCACAUGCAGCUGCUGGGUGACCUUGGGCCAGUCACACUUCUCUGAAGUCUCUCAACCCCACUCACCUCACAGAGUGUUUGUUGUGGGGGAGGAAGGGAAAGGAGAUUGUUAGCCGCUUUGAGACUCCUUAGGGUAGUGAUAAAGCGGGAUAUCAAAUCCAAACUCCUCUACUACUUCUUCUUCUUCUUCUUCUUCUUCUUCUUCUUCUUCUUCUUCUUCUUCUUUUUCAGGACGAUUUGGGGAGCCAGGCUGGUGAGGGGUGUUGCCUGGGGAGGAAGAAUGGGCUGGGAGAGUUCUGAGGGCCUCACAGAAGUGCGUAGAGGGCCACAUUGAAACCUCUUUAGCAUCUGAAUUAGAGGAAUACAUAGGAACUUUAUUGUCGGCCAGAGCAACACCGCAUUAGUUUCUUUACAGGCAUUGUCUUGAAAGGUUUGCAGCGUGAAACAUAAAAAAGAGACGACAGGUGCCGAGCCAGUACGAGAGAGGGGGGGAGCUCAAGGAAGCAAUGGAUAGAAACAGAGUGACAGGCAGAGACCUUGAGGCAUCAGCUGCCCUUUCCCUUUGAGUGUUCGGAAGUGUUUGUGCAGAAACCUUACUCACAUUUUAAUGACCCUCUUUUGUUUCAUUUUAUUUUUUUUGUUUGGAACUAACCAGUGCAAUUUUUCAAGAACGCCUAGCCUUGUUCUCUUAUAAUGGCAAUGGCGCCCACCUGAGAGGUGCCAGAACUGAGUUCCGGCAAGUCCAAGCUCGAAAAAGCCUCUGCAGUCCUGUUAUUAGGGAAAGUAGUGGGCACGACUUAGCAUGACAAGUGGUUCAGAUUCUUGGGCAAGACCUCAGUGAUGGAGGAGGUAUUACUGUCUCCUCAGUGGCGGACAGGACAGGGGAGUAGUAAAAGGUAAAGGUAAAGGACCCCUGGAUGACUAAGUCCAGUCAAAGGCGACUGUGGGGUGCGGCACUCAUCUCGCUUUCAGGCCAAGGGAGCCAGCGUUUGUCCACAGACAGCUUUCCGGGUCCCAGUACAUUUCCAAGCACAAUUCAAAGUGUUGGUGCUGACCUUUAAAGCCCUAAAUGGCCUCAGCCCAGUAUAGCUGAAGGAGCGUCUCUACCCCCAUUGUUCUGUUGAAUGGUUUAAUAUGUAAAGGUUCAUCAUUGUUCCACUCGAUGUGUAUGUCUUUAAGGGGCCAGAGAAAGGGCCAGAGCAAAAUAACGAGACCCAGCUUUACAGCUGUGAAACAUAGCAGGUGCUGCUGAGUUGUAUUGAUUAAGCUGUGUUGGUAAUUGGGUGUAGUAUAUAAGGAGCAGCACCUAGCUCUCCCAUUACCCUGGGGGAUGGGUUGGUGGUUGGGUCAUGUUUGUUUGUUAAUGUAUUUAGUGUAAAAGGAGUUUUUGUUUUUCUUAUUAAAACCUUGUUUAAGUUAUUUUUGAGUCCCUUUUAAUGCAUGGUCUCCCCAGCAAGCUCUCUGCAGCGCUACCAUACUGCAAAAAGCCAACAUCUUUGGUUAUGGGCCCAGCUGCUGAGUGGAUGACUGCAUAUUUUUGGACUCUGAGAAAGGUUUGAAAACUCCUUCUCCUGUUAGCGUAGUUCUGUGGGUCUGGAAGAGUUCCAGAAUGGUUGACCGGGUUCCUGAAGCUGAGAAGGCUCUGGUCUUCCCACAGCUGACAGAUGAGAACUAUAGUUUAUGGUCUUUUCGGGUGGAGGCGCUUUUGACCUCUAGAGAAGUAUGGACCUAUGUAACUGAUGACCCUCCUGACCCUGUGACUAAUGCUUGGUCGAAAGGAGAUGCGAAAGCCAGGGCGAUAAUUAAUUUGGCAGUCAGCGACCAGCAAGUAGUCUAUAUAAGAAAUAAGAAAACUGCCAAAGAAAUGUGGGACAGUCUUGCAGCAGUGCAUGUUAGAAAAGAGUCAGCGUCUGCAUUGACGUUUUCAAGCAGUUGUACCAGACGAAGUUGCAGCCUGGUGGUGAUUUGGCAGCACACUUGAGACGUCUGGAGGCAAUACGCGGCGAAUUAAUUCGAAGGGACAUGGAGAUACCUGAUAUUCAGUAUGUUUUCAUCAUCCUUUGUUCCCUUAAUGAGGACUUUGAUGGUAUAGCUAGCCAGAUAUCUGCCGUUCCACCAGCACAAUUAACUGUGGAAGGGGUAACGGCAAGAUUAAUGGGCGAGUUGGACAGAAGGGAGGCUUGUGCCAUAAGCACUCCUAUUUCCAGAAAGAAUGAGGAACGCCAUAUGCAAACUUGUGGUGAUACAACUGCAUUUAAAGCUGCAAAGCGUUGUUGGUUCUGCAAUAAGCAAGGACAUUUUGCAAAGGACUGCAGAUCCAAAAGAAAGCAAAGUACUCCCAAGUCUGUUUCUGUUCGUCAGUCACGGUCGUCAGCUCAGCAGCCGGCAUCGUACCGUAAAGACAGAAACGAGCCGCGAGCUUUUCACGCUAGCACAAGAGAUCGUAAAAGAAUUAAAGGUGCCAAGUGGAAUUCUUUUAUUGUGGACUCAGGAGCAUCUCAGCACGUUUGCAACGAUCGAAGCUUGUUUAUUUCUUUCGAAGAGGAAAUUGGUAAUGUACAUUUAGCCAAUUCACAAGUCUUGCAGUCGCUUGGCAGGGGUACUGUUAAACUUGACUCUUUAAACAUUACUAUAGCGAACUGCAUUUACUGCCCAUCAGUGGACAAUUUAUUGUCAGUAAGGUGUUUUGCUCGUCAAGGCAUAACUGUGCGUUUCUUAAAGUCAAUGUGUGAGUUUUUCGAGGGGAACAAACGUCUAUUGUAUGCCCGGGAAUCUGAUGGUUUAUAUAGACUGUAUUUUCGCACCUACUCCCAAUCGCCUAUAAAUUGCAGAGCAGCACAGUCAAGCCAGGGGUUGAGGAAUGUAAGGCCACAUUCUGGGUGUGUCCAUGAGGCGCACAGAAUUCUGGGACAUCUGAAUUUUGCUGAUGUAAUUAAGACCAAGAAUAUUGUUAAUGGCCUCAACUUAAAACCAUGUAAAUUCUUUAUGCAAUGUCUAUCCUGUUGCAAGAAUAAGAUUAAGGUUGCACGCAAGGGUAGGUGCUCAGAUAGGAAAGUAACUGAGCCAUUUGAGCGUGUACAUUGUGAUUUAGUUGGGCCACUCCCACCAUCCUUAGGAGGUUCUAAGUACUGGCUUACCCUGAUAGACCAGUAUAGUAGAUAUUGUUGGACUUAUGCAAUAGCUGAGAAGUCCCAAGCAUUUGAGAAGUACAAAGUUUUUGCAACUGGGUAAAAACACAUUUUAACAAACCUAUUAAGAACCUUUUUCUGACAGGGGCGGGAAUUUGUUUCUGAGGAUUUUGAGAAAUUCCUGGAAGCGCAGGGGACUACUCAUGAGUUAUCUUGCCCCGAAGUCCCUGGCAAAAUGGGCUUGUUGAAGUUGUGCAGCGUGACCUGCAGGCAGGGGUUAAAACUUAUCUGCAUGAUGCUAAUCUGCCCAAAGACUUUUGGGCUGAAGCGCUCAAUGCCUUUUGUUAUGUUAGAAAUCGCAGUUAUCAUUCUGGUUUAGAUGUCACCCCUAUGAGAAGCUGUUUAAAAACGCCCUAAUCUGAAAUACCUACGCAUUUGGGGUUCAGAUGUAAUAAUGCAUUAUCCCGCUAAGCAGAAAUUGGGUGAACGUAGUGUCCAGGGAAAAUUAAUGGGCUACCAGCAGGGGGCGUACAGAAUUUACAUACCAGCAACUGGCAAAUUUCAUAUUACCAGAAGCAUGAUACAAACUGUAAAUUGGAAUGGUGUUGCUGUUUUCCAAGAUAGUAAUGGUAUAGAUAAUACUGAGGAAGAAGAGGUAGAAGAAGCAGCAGCAGCAGCAGGAAAUGGUGCUUCUGAAUUAAUGGAAGAAGACAAAAAGCCUGUUGAAUCUGAUAAUUUCUUUGAUGAUUUAAAGUCACAGGCACCCGAGGGGAGGUUAGAUUCUCUUGAGUUUUCUGACCGUGAGCUUAGCCAACAGGCAUCUCUUCAGUCUGACAAUGAUGAUUUACAACCUGAAACUAGUAGUUUACAUAGUCCCAUUAAGUCUGAGGAGUCUGACUCUCCUUCCGGACUGAGACGUUCAGAUAGAAAGAGACAGAAGCCACAACGUUUUGCAGAUGAACAUUUUAAUACUGUGUAUGCCAAUAAGGCAGUUUUUGAGCCAAAAAGCUACAAUGAUGUUCAGAAUUUACCUAAGCACCAAGCUGUAAAUUGGUAUAAAGCUAUGAACUCUGAAAUAGCUUCUUUAAAAGAGCAUAACACUUGGUCUCUUGUACCACAAACCCCAGAUAUGAGACUUAUUGAUUCAAAAUGGGUUUAUAGAGUUAAAAUGAAUGACAAAAAUGAAGUUGUAAGGUACAAGGCAAGAUUAGUUGCUAGGGGUUUUCAACAAAUUCCAGGCGAAGAUUAUGAUUUGUGUUAUUCACCAAGUGUAAAAUAUGAAACAGUUAAGCUUUUGUUAAAAGAUGCAUCACAACGUGGACAUUCUGUUUAUCACCUAGAUAUAAAAACUGCAUAUUUGUUUGCAGAUUUAAAAGAACAAAUUUUUAUGCGUGUCCCUGAAGGCAUAGACGCCGCUGAAGGUUUGGUAUGCAAAUUAAAUAAAUCCCUUUAUGGUCUGCACCAAAGUGGAAGGAAUUGGCAUCAAACUUUAGCAAAAGAAUUGCUGGAUAUUGGUUUUUCACAGGGAAAGGCAGACAAUUGUGUGUUUAUAAAGGAAAGGGCAAACUCUGUAGCAAAAAUAUGUGUCUAUGUAGAUGACGUGUUAAUUUCUACAAAAACUAAACAGGAAUAUGAACAGGUAGUAACACAGUUACAGAAGAAAUUUGAUGUGGUGGAAUUAGGCAUAGCUAAAAAUUACUUAUCCAUGCAAAUUGAGAAAGGCAAAAAUGGAUCUUUUCUGGUUCAUCAAACUGCAAAAAUUGACGAUCUUGUUGAAAUGCUAUGUUUAGAAAAUGCAAAUGGGAAGGAAACGCCCAUGGUGUGUGGUUUCACUUUUACAGGUGAAGAUAAGCCAUUUCCUAACAAAACUUUGUAUCGUUCUGCUAUAGGCAAGCUAAAUUUCAUUCAAAGAAUCUCAAGACCAGAUAUAACUUAUGCCUUUCACUUUCUGGCAAAAUUUGUGGAAAAGCCCACUACACAAUGUUUCUCUGCUCUUAAGAGAGUGGUAAUGUACCUUAAACAUACCAAACAUUAUAGGUUGCAGUUUACAACAUGUAUUGACAAAGGUUUUGAAAUUUUCUGUGAUGCAUCUCAUGCAGUGGAACAAAAUAAUUGCAGGGGUGUGUCUGGUAUGGUGUUUUGUUAUAAUGGUUGUCCAUUUGAAUGGAAGUCCCAGACACAAACCAUUAUUUGUCUCUCCACAACAGAGAGUGAAUUAUGUGCAUGUGUUCAGGCCACUCGUGAUGUGGAAUGGUAUCUGCAAGUAUUCGCAGACCUACAGAUGCAAGUAACACUACCAGUAAAAGUUUACCUUGAUUCCCAGAGUGGACUCGCUAUCCUAUGUUCAGAAACCAAUACGCAGCGCACUAAAGUCUUAAGAUUACGUUUACAGUUUGUAAAGAAACUAAUUGCUGAUGAAAUGGUUGUAUUUAAAUAUGUUCCAGGUGACAAUCAAAUUGCAGACAUUUUUACUAAAGCACUUCCAAAAGGUAUACAUGAAAAACAUGUACAAAGUAUGCUUUAUGUUUUUGUUCCACAAUGAUGAACCGCAGGGGAAAUGUUGAAUGGUUUAAUAUGUAAAGGUUCAUCAUUGUUCCACUCGAUGUGUAUGUCUUUAAGGGGCCAGAGAAAGGGCCAGAGCAAAAUAACGAGACCCAGCUUUACAGCUGUGAAACAUAGCAGGUGCUGCUGAGUUGUAUUGAUUAAGCUGUGUUGGUAAUUGGGUGUAGUAUAUAAGGAGCAGCACCUAGCUCUCCCAUUACCCUGGGGGAUGGGUUGGUGGUUGGGUCAUGUUUGUUUGUUAAUGUAUUUAGUGUAAAAGGAGUUUUUGUUUUUCUUAUUAAAACCUUGUUUAAAUUAUUUUUGAGUCCCUUUUUAAUGCAUGGUCUCCCCAGCAAGCUCUCUGCAGCGCUACCAUACUGCAAAAAGUCAACAUGUUCAGCCCAGACACUGAGGUCCAGCUCCGAGGGCCUUCUGGCGGUUCCCUCACUGCAAGAUGUGAAGUUACAGGAACCAGGCAGAGGGCCUUCUCAGUAGUGGCACCCGCCCUGUGGAACGCCCUCCCACCAGAUGUCAAAGAGAAAAACAACUACCAGACUUUUAGAAGACAUCUGAAGGCAGCCAUGUUUAGGGAAGCUUUUAAUGUUUAAUAGACUAUUGUAUUUUAAUAUUUUGUUUGAAGCUGCCCAGAGUGGCUGGGGAAACCCAACCAGAUGGGCGGGGUAUAAAUAAAUUAUUAUUGUUAUUAUUAUUAUUAUUUGGCCAGUAUGACUAAACCGCUUCUGGUGCAAUGGAACCCCGUGUUGGAAACCAGAGCGCACAGAAACUCUGUUUACCUUCCCGUCACAGUGGUACCUAUUUAUCUACUUGCACUGGCAUGCUUUUGAACUGCUAGGUUGGCAGGAGCUGGCACAGAGCAACGGGAGCUCACUCCAUUGCGGGGAUUCGAACUGCCGACCUUCAGAUUGGCAAGCCCAAGAGGCUCAGUGGUUUAGACCACAGUGCCACCCGCAUCCCUCUCCCAUCGCUUGGUGAAGUGGGACUGUACAUAGUUUCUGAUGUGGCAAAGUAGAUGAGCUAGAACCUACCUCUGGAGGUGGAGCUCAUGCUGUGUUGGCUGGUGGGUAGAUGGGACUAGACAUAGGAAACUCCUCCCACUAGGAUCUUUCCUUGGAUUCUCUUCCUCCAGCUCUCCUGACCUGGGCAGAGACCUUCCUAGCCCACUCUCUCCCUCCCUGGUGUCUUCUGUAGGUCACCUGGCCUGGCCAGACCCCCACCACUCAGGGCCUAUGACACAUCUGGAGGUCCACAGGUGUCGCACACCUGGACUUCAAGAACUCAUGUGACCUUAGGACAGUGGUUCUCAACCUUGGGUCCCCAGAUGUUUUUGACCUACAACUCCCAUGAUCCCUAGCUCACAGGACCAGUGGUCAGGGAUGAUGGGAGUUGUAGGCCGAAAACAUCUGGGGACCCAAGGCUGAGAAAGGUUGCCUUAGGGCAUCUGUUACUAAGCAAGUGUUGGCUUUUACCCCAAGGAAGGGAAGAUCUCUAAAUUACAACUAGCAUCACACCAUUAUGAGCAAGACACGAUAUAUUUUAGAGUGCUUAAAAUGUGACUGAUCCAUGUUAAGUAAUCUUGAGUAUGUUUCCUUUGUGGAUGUUAUUGGGAGCCUCCCAGAAUGGGCUGGGGCAACCCAAUCAGGUGGUCAUUACAUAAAUAAUAAAAGGGUGAUGAUGAUUUUCUCCUCCUAUUUUUUUUUAAAUAUAGCUCUCCUGUUCAAAUGAGUUUGCUCAACGUAAUCUGUUGUGCUUAUCGCCAACAUUGGUGAUAUUUUAAACUCUGCAAAUACGUUAAUUACAUUACUUGAGUAAUGUAACUGUGUGUAUAAACUGUAUGCAUAAAUAUUAUAUUAAGCAGCUAAUAUUGUCUGUUCCUAGAUCCAUGCCUGCUGUGCUGGUUAGAAGCAAAGCAGCUUGCUUUCCAGUUUGCCUAGGGAUUUUACUUUAUCGAGUUACUGGUUUAAAAUCAACAAAUUAGAACACAGUACACAGUAUCCUUUUGCUUUAUUCCACAGUCUUGAAUUUAAUUAGCCCUUAUCAUUGAAUAUUGUUGUUGCUAAAUCCUUAUGUAAGCAGAGACUAUAGGAUAUAGAUAUGCAGCAAGAUUUGCCUCGUGUUGUGGCAUCGAAAUCGUCUGCUUUUCUUGCCAGCAUGUCAAUAUGGUUCAAGGGGAUUUGACAGAGCUUUGAGAUGCUAGCAAGAGGAAAGCUUUAACAUCUUUAUGGCUUGAGAUUGUGGAGACAGAAAUGCUUCCAACAUGAUUAACAAGGAGAUUGAAUAAUAGUUUAAAGAUUUCGUAGCUGCAGAAAAAGUGUGAUAGAUGACUCUCAUCACUGUGUUGGAUUUAUGGCAAAGUUUAGAAAGAGUUAUUAAAGGGUUUUAAUAGCUUGACUGCAGCUGGUCAACUAAAUCAGGGUUUUCAUUAAUGUCCUGAAUAUAAGUAAUUUAGCAGUUCCUCUUCCUAAGGAGUGUGUUCUGCUCAUGCUGCUGUUAUAGCCUUGGCUAAAUUCUAUAUCAGGAAUAAAAUAACAUUUUAAUGUGUUAUUUGUAUUGCUUUUAAAUGCUAUAUCUUUUAUGGGUUUCUAUUGUUUGGUGGUGGAGAAUUAUUUUUGUAAUGACUUUCCCUGCUGAACAAAUGAACUUAAAGACACAUUUUAAGCCGCUUAUGUGUUUUUUCUCUGAGAAAUUAUAUGCUCCAGCAGUCUCCACAAUUUGUGCAAUUGGUUUUUUAUGCAUCUGACUAUACUUCCAUGUUGCAAUUUGCCAAGCGCUAUGGCAUAAACACACACACACACACCCACACACACACACACACACAGUGGUACCUCGAGUUACAAAUGCCUCAGGUUACAAACGCUUCAGGUUACAAACUCCGCUAACCUGAAAGAGUUACCUUGAGUUGAGAACUUUGCCCCAGGAUGGGAACGGAAAUUGUGUGCCGGCGGUGCAGCAGCAGCAAGAGGCCCCAUUAGCAAAAGCACGCCUCUAGUUAAGAACAGUUUCAGGUUAAGAACGGACCUCCGGAACGAAUUAAGUUUGUAACUAGAGGUACCACUCUGUGUGUAUGUGUGUAUGUGUGUAUGUGUGUGUGUGUGUGUGUGUGUAUCUAUAUCUAUAUCUAUAUCUAUAUCUAAUCUAUAUCUGAUGUCUGUUGUGAGCUACUCUGGGCACAAUCAAAAAUUGAAAAGGGGCAUAUAAAUUCAGCUAGCUCUUAGACAGCAGGGGAGACUUUCAAACUAUAGGUAAACUAUUGCAUUUAGCAAAAAUUACCCUUACUAAAGGGACGCGGGUGGUGCUGUGGGUUAAACCACAGAGCCUAGGACUUGCCGAUCAGAAGGUCGGCGGUUUGAAUCCCCGUGACGGGGUGAGCUCCCGUCGCUCGGUCCCUGCUCCUGCCAACCUAGCAGUUCAAAAGCACGUCAAAGUGCAAGUAGAUAAAUAGGUACCACUCCAGCGGGAAGGUAAACGGCUUUUCCUUUGACUGCUCUGGUUCGCCAGAAGCAGCUUAGUCAUGCUGGCCACAUGACCCGGAAGCUGUACGCCAGGUCCUUCAGCCAAAAAAGCGAGAUGAGCACUGCAACCCCAGAGUCAGUCACGACUGGACCCAAUGGUCAGGGGUCCCUUUACCUUUACCUUUACCUUUACCUUUACCCUUACUAAGGCUAACAGAGCUGUUGAUUUUGCACUUUCUGUUUUUGGAAGUUGCUCAUUAUGGUUGUUUCUUAUGGAACGGAAGAGAAAAGCAAGAUUGAGGCAAACUUUCAUAGCUGCCUGGAUUUUCCGAUAUCACCCAGCCCCCCCCCCAGCCCCCCCCAAAAGCCCUGGGGACCAGAACUGGCUUGUAGGCCAGUGGUUCAGCACCCUCUUAAAUAAGCUGUAAAAAAGAAGUAACUACUCAGAAUCUCAUCUUUGCCACAUCUUGAUUCUUAUACCUCCAGAUUUGACAUGAACUCACUUGAGUGAAGAAACUGGAAGAUAAUCAUCCGAGGCAUGACUUUGCAACUGAAAAAGAGAUCUGAAACCGCCUCCUUUGCCAAAUACAAAUUUGACAAAAUGAAGCAUACAUCCAGAUUUUUUGGUUUGGGGCGCUGCUAACUUGUCUGCCAGUGUGAAUGAAGGGAGGCUGAAAAAACCAGCA